RNAcentral lists this ribosomal RNA (253 nucleotides) under uncultured bacterium. RNAcentral's name for it is "partial 16S ribosomal RNA". It matches the Rfam family "Bacterial small subunit ribosomal RNA", at positions 524 to 776 of the family's 1533-position model. The record is from RNAcentral.
UACGUAGGGUGCAAGCGUUGUCCGGAAUUAUUGGGCGUAAAGAGCUCGUAGGCGGUCUGUCGCGUCGGCUGUGAAAACCCGGGGCUCAACCCCGGGCCUGCAGUCGAUACGGGCAGACUAGAGUGUGGUAGGGGUAAAGGGAAUUUCCAGUGGAGCGGUGAAAUGCGUAGAGAUUGGAAAGAACACCGAUGGCGAAGGCACUUUACUGGGCUAUUACUAACACUGAGAGACGAAAGCUAGGGUAGCAAAUGGG